GAUGAACGCUGGCGGCGUGCCUAAUACAUGCAAGUCGAGCGAACAGACGAGGCGCUUGCUCCUCUGACGUUAGCGGCGGACGGGUGAGUAACAUGUGGAUAACCUACCUAUAAGACUGGGAUAAUUUCGGGAAACCGGAUCUAAUACCGGAUAAUAUAUUGAACCGCAUGGUUCAAUAGUGAAAGACGGUUUUGCUGUCUCUUAUAGAUGGAUCCGCGCCGCAUUAGCUAGUUGGUAGGGUAACGGCUUACCAAGGCUACUAUGCGUAGCCGACCUGAGAGGAGGAUCGGCCACACUGGAACGUAGACACGGUCCAGACUCCUACGGGAGGCAGCAGUAGGGAAUCUGCCGCAAUGGGCGAAAGCCUGACGGAGCAACGCCGCGUGAGUGAUGAAGGUCUUCGGAUCGUAAAACUCUGUUAUUAGUGAAGAACAAAUGUGUAAUUAACUAUGGACGUCUUGACGGUACCUAAUCAAGAAGCCACGGCUAACUACGUG
This 497-nucleotide ribosomal RNA is filed under the name uncultured bacterium. RNAcentral's name for it is "partial 16S ribosomal RNA". It matches the Rfam family "Bacterial small subunit ribosomal RNA", at positions 28 to 507 of the family's 1533-position model. The record is from RNAcentral.